This 395-nucleotide ribosomal RNA is filed under the name uncultured bacterium. RNAcentral describes it as "partial 16S ribosomal RNA". It matches the Rfam family "Bacterial small subunit ribosomal RNA", at positions 523 to 918 of the family's 1533-position model. The record is from RNAcentral.
AUACGUAGGGUGCAAGCGUUAAUCGGAAUUACUGGGCGUAAAGCGUGCGCAGGCGGUUUUGUAAGACAGUUGUGAAAUCCCCGGGCUCAACCUGGGAACUGCCAUUGUGACUGCAAGGCUGGAGUGCGGCAGAGGGGGGUGGAAUUCCGCGUGUAGCAGUGAAAUGCGUAGAUAUGCGGAGGAACACCGAUGGCGAAGGCAAUCCCCUGGGCCUGCACUGACGCUCAUGCACGAAAGCGUGGGGAGCAAACAGGAUUAGAUACCCUGGUAGUCCACGCCCUAAACGAUGUCAACUGGUUGUUGGGGAUUUAUUUUCUCAGUAACGAAGCUAACGCGUGAAGUUGACCGCCUGGGGAGUACGGCCGCAAGGUUAAAACUCAAAGGAAUCGACGGGG